GUGCUGGCUGAGAAGUCAAGAAGGUUAGCAUUCCCCCUAAGCAUGGAUGGAAAAGGUCCUGGUGACCUAUAUACCAGACAUAUGGUUAAGAAAUUGCCACCUACCUCAUGGCAUCUAUCUAUGACUUCUC
RNAcentral lists this non-coding RNA (130 nucleotides) under Echinops telfairi (small Madagascar hedgehog). The record is from RNAcentral. Lineage: Eukaryota; Metazoa; Chordata; Mammalia; Afrosoricida; Tenrecidae.